RNAcentral lists this ribosomal RNA (253 nucleotides) under uncultured bacterium. RNAcentral describes it as "partial 16S ribosomal RNA". It matches the Rfam family "Bacterial small subunit ribosomal RNA", at positions 524 to 776 of the family's 1533-position model. The record is from RNAcentral.
UACGUAGGGUGCAAGCGUUAUCCGGAAUUAUUGGGCGUAAAGAGCUCGUAGGCGGUUUGUCGCGUCUGCUGUGAAAACUGGAGGCUCAACCUCCAGCCUGCAGUGGGUACGGGCAAACUAGAGUGCGGUAGGGGAGAUUGGAAUUCCUGGUGUAGCGGUGGAAUGCGCAGAUAUCAGGAGGAACACCGAUGGCGAAGGCAGGUCUCUGGGCCGAUACUGACGCUGAGGAGCGAAAGCGUGGGGAGCGAACAGG